RNAcentral lists this ribosomal RNA (306 nucleotides) under Triticum aestivum (bread wheat). RNAcentral describes it as "partial small subunit ribosomal RNA". The record is from RNAcentral. Lineage: Eukaryota; Viridiplantae; Streptophyta; Magnoliopsida; Poales; Poaceae.
AAAGGAAAAAUUACUGUCUGACGGGGGAAGGAGAUCCUGCUCAAGGCUGUGAUCCAAGCCAUACCUACCUAUGCAAUGUUGGUCUUUAAAAUUAAAAAUUGUAAAUGAAUCAUUGACGCGAUAACGCAUUUCUGGUGGAGAGACGAGGAGAACAAGAGGAGGAUGCAUUGGAUGGCCUGGUGGAAAAUGUGCGUACCAAAAAACCAAGGAGGGAUGAGAUUCCGUGAUAUCUACUGUUUCAACCUGGCUUUGCUCGCCAAAUAGGCAUGGCGUCUUCUUGAUUACCCUGAUUCCUCGUGUAAAUGA